UCCCGCUUAACUCAGUGGUAGAGUGCGUCACUAGUAACCCGUAAGGCUUCCAGCAUCUACGUGCUGUCAUGACGAAGUCAGUCGUUCAAAUCGGCUAGUGGGAA
This is a non-coding RNA of Violaceomyces palustris, 104 nucleotides long. The record is from the annotation of a GenBank genome assembly. Lineage: Eukaryota; Fungi; Basidiomycota; Ustilaginomycetes; Violaceomycetales; Violaceomycetaceae.